Molecule: long non-coding RNA, 197 nt
Organism: Magnolia sinica
Lineage: Eukaryota; Viridiplantae; Streptophyta; Magnoliopsida; Magnoliales; Magnoliaceae
Exons: 4
Source: RefSeq, a predicted model, not a curated record
CAAGUAGGAAAAGAAAUUCCUCUGGAUGUUCUUGCUACUGCAGAACUGGAGAAUUUGGGACAUCCAUUAUUGGAAGGUUUGGAUAUAUUAAUAGUUAAAAGUAAGCCUUCACCCAAGAAAAGCGAUCCUGAUCUAGAUGUAACUCAGUACCAAUCACCAUCAUUCCAAUGGUUCACAUCAAAGUCUUCAAAAAAGGU